GACUGGCAUGCACCUGUGACUUACAUAAACCAGACCUCUACAUAGCCUACAUGUCUUCAUUUUGCUGAAGACUGCCCAUCAUCCUAGCCUGUUAUCUGUGAUAAAGCACACUGAAGUUAGGUUUGGAAUGCAUCCUUAUCAUGAAUGCUCUACACCUCCACCUCCAUCUCCCACAACCUAGGUAACAGCUUUGAGACUCACUAAAAGUUGAACCCCCUGAAUGAUGUAGGCUAUGGGGCCACAUAAGACUUUGUCCAUCCAGGGUUACAUUGAACGACAACUUUAAACUAAAAAACCAACAUUUUUCACACAACUCCAGGUUGUUACUAACAAAUUACUACUACAAGUGUCAUCAAGGGA
Macrobrachium nipponense is the source of this 360-nucleotide long non-coding RNA. RefSeq lists it as uncharacterized. NCBI's taxonomy places the organism in Eukaryota, Metazoa, Arthropoda, Malacostraca, Decapoda, Palaemonidae. The record is from RefSeq and is a predicted model, not a curated record. The transcript has 4 exons.